This is a non-coding RNA of Dermacentor albipictus, 5476 nucleotides long. Lineage: Eukaryota; Metazoa; Arthropoda; Arachnida; Ixodida; Ixodidae. The record is from RefSeq and is a predicted model, not a curated record.
GGUAUAGCAAUUAAAGGAUGUUGCUGGUUUGAUAAAAAAACAUUGGUUUCUACAGAACACUUGCAAAUAUAUUUUCAGUAAUAAAUGUGAGCUUGCGGCGCAGACCGCUACUGGGAGUUGUAAGUUUAUUUGUGUUGUUUUCUUAUUUAGUCGCUAGGUGGUGUGCCAUACGCUAUGCAAACAAGUUGCCUCGCUUUGUUUACGUUUUGGACUUGCCAGUUUGCGCGCCGCGGAUCCAAAACGAUGUCCUCGCAGAAGGUUAGGCUGCUGGGUCCUCAUGUUUCAGCGAGGCAACGCGAUAUACUCGUGUCAUUUGUUGAAGAGCACCCCUACCUUGCGAAGGCGUCGUGUGUGCUGGGUCAACAGCUGACGGCGGCGCGCAAGGAGGAGCUCUCGCAGCAAGUGAUUGCCUUGCUGAACGCUGAGGGCCCGGCAGUGAAAACUGCAGCCCAAUGGCGCGGCGUGUGGAAGAAAGACGUGUAUAACGCCCGCCGUGAUGCAGCCAGAGGAACCGGAGGAGGCAGCCUGCCCGGACCGCGAGGGCGGGCGAGCGCCAUCGGAGUCUGCCCGCCGUUCUUUGAGCCCGACGAAGAGGUGAACAUCAGGCGCAUGGGUUUCAAUAGGUCAACGCCAAGUCGACGUGCUGUCGCGAUUCGCUCAGUCACCGCCGUUAUGGCUGAUGUGUGGUCGCGCGCUAGUGUUGCCGCUCAGAAGAUGGCCCGAGCUUGAGCGGAAAUCGUCAAGCUAUUUACUAUCGCUUGCGUCAAGUAAGGUCGACAUUUUUGUUUAAUACCUUUCAUCAGUAUUUCAGUCUACUCAUUCAAACAUUAGGGGGGUUAAUAGAGUUGAUUUUCCGGUCGGAGCCGGCGAAAUGUCUGAGGUUGUAUUUAGUGUGACGAGCAUCGAGUGAUUAUUACAGAGUUUGAAACGAACAAAAGUGUGUGGUCCGGAUGAUAUCCCUACAUCAUUCCUUAUAAAUUGCUCGGGCAUCUUUGUACUUCUGUCGCUUAUUUCAAAAUUUCUUAAAUAACAGCGUUGUUCCUGGUGAUUGGAAACUAGCGCGAGUGGUGCCAAUUCAUAAGAGUGGACAGAGGAACAGAGUUGAGAAUUACGGACCAGUAUCCUUAACUAGCAUUUUAUGUAUGUAAGGUUAUGGCACAUGUGUAUACCUGCAUCAUGUCUCAUCUUGAUAACAAUAACCUUCUUCAUCCUAGUCAGCAUGGGUUUCGGCAGGGUUUUUCGUGUACGACACAAUUGGUUGCAUUCACUCAUGAGCUAGUCUCAGCAGUCGACAAGAAACAAAUUGUUGAUUGUAUAUUUCUGUAUUUCAAAAAAGCUUUUGACGUCGUUACGCAUAGUCUACUGAUCGCUAAACUUUUACUUUACAAAUUGGAUGAGAAGGUUAUCGCAUGUAUUGCCGAGUAUCUUCGCUCAAGACAGAUGUCUGUGGCUCUCAACGGAUGUUCCUCUGAAUACGUACCUGUGACUUCUGGGGUUCCCCAGAAGUCACAUUCAUGGCACCACUUCAGGCAUUACAUCAUCAUUUACAGCAUGGUUUCCAAAAAGGAUUUUCUUGCGAAACCUAACUACUAGAAUUCACGUCAGACUUACACUUUCAUAUGAACAGUAAUAAACAAAUUGACUGCAUCUUUUUGGAUUUCUCGAAAGCAUUCGAUCGUGUAGCCCAUAGUCACCCGAUAUCAAAGCUCUCAGCAAUUAAACUCAACUCACUAACCCUAUCAUGGAUUCGUAAUUUUCUUACUAAUCGCGAACAGUUCACUGUUGUUGCUAACUUUUCCUCUGGCCUCUUUGACGUCACCUCUGGUGUACCUCAAGGCAGUUUACUUGGGCCUCUUCUCUUUUUAAUUUACAUUAACGACUUGCCGAACAAUAUAUCAUCUUCUGUACGAUUAUUAUUUCACAGAUUUGUUCACACAGUUGGCCUAACCUUAUCAAACCUGAAAGAAGCAUCCUCGACGUCACAACGACUGAACAAUCAGUUCAGCUACACCCGAAUUUAUGGCAACACACAACGCUUUUAAUUUUUCAACUUUGCCCCGUGCGGUCCGUUUAUGGAACGCACUACCAGAUACCAUUGCAUGCCAAUCUAAACACACUGCAUUUCGCAAUCUGCUAAGCAAUCAAUAUGCCGUUUCAACCGUCUAAACACGUCAUGUCUUUUGUAAUUUACUUGCAUUUUUUUCUACAAGUUAAAGAAUUUCAGCGCUCCCAAUUUUUUUACAAUACUUACUACUGUAUAACAUGUAAAAACGUUUACAAUGUUAUUAUGCUAUUAUGUUGUUGUUUACCAUUUAUUGUUAUUGCUCUACAUAUUGUAUUUGCUAAUGUAUUAAUUUUCCAUGUUCUGUGUGCACUCCUUUCAUUAUGCUGAUGUUUAUUUCUUUCCCGAUUCCAUACUAAUAUGUUACCGUAUUUCCCCCUUACACUAUGCCUUCUCGAAGGCCUGUAAGGUACACGUAAAUAAAUAAAUAAAUAUUUAGAAUGUUUGCAGAUGACUGUAUAGUAUAUAAGGUCAUCAACAGCGAAUCUGACCAACAAGCACUACAAUAUGAUUUGGAUUUGAUUGCCACAUGGUGUGAAAAAUGGAAAAUGUCACUGAAUGAGCAAAAGAGUGUCCACGUCACCUUUACCGGGAAGCGCUCAUAUGACAGCAAUCGUAACACUAUAAAUAAUGCUACUCUUGAACAAGUGUCAGAAUAUAAAUACUUAGGUGUAUUUUUUUCUGCUGAUCUAAGGUGGAACAGACACGUUACUCAUGUUAGGAACAAGGCUGUCGGAGCAUUAGGUUUCUUGAAACGUAUCUUUAGUAGCUUGCCACAGAAACUUAGGGAGCAACUGUAUUUCACACAUGUGCGCAGUACACUAGAGUAUGCGUGUGUUUGCUGGGAUCCAUAUACUACAGAACUUGUAGAUAAACGAGAAAAAGUGCAGAACAGGGCAGUUCGGUUUGUCCUUGGCAAUUAUGACAGGAUGCUUAGCAUGACAGAAAGCAAAAAGGCAUUAAAUUGGCAUCUUCUCGAACACCGUCGCCGAAACCUCAGAUUAAAAUUUCUUCAUAACAUAUACCACUCUAAUGCGGGGAUAGCCAGGUAAUUGUAUUUUCAGCCGCCCACAUGUUUCUCAAAGGCGAGAUCACAAAUUAAAAAUAUGUGAGAUUCCUUUUGACGCUCUAUUGCAUGAAUUAUGAAAAGUCAUUUUUUCAGCUUUCAUUAUUGAUUGAAUGAGCAAACACGACUGUAAUAAUAAAGAUAAAGCUUUGUGCCAAAUAUGGCACACCAUGAAGAUGGCUGAGCGCUCUUGCUGCCAUGGGCGGAAAACAAACCUUCACGGACGGUGGUCUUUUUAGUGCGAUGUGGGGAAUGAAAUGAAACAGUUGUUUGCUGCGUUCAGGCACAGAUGAAUGUUGCACUUCCUCUAUCUUACCAACGACUUGUUUGUGCAAGGUGGCCGCUUACAUCUUUGUUUCUUCUCGUCAAAUUCUGGCCAGUGGCCGACUUGGUCAGAUCGGUCGUCUUUGGGUGGCAUUGCGGCCGCUGGUCCCUGUGCUUUUUUGACUUGAACCUGGAAUUCGAUGUCCUGACUAGAAGUCCUUCCUGGUCGCUAGUUGGGUAGGCACUUGUUAUGCGAGGUAAGGCAUUCUGCAAUUUCUGCUUUUAAAUGAGCCAGCGGUAGUACUUGUCUCCUCCUAAGCUGCUCCUGCACCCUCCUGUACAAGACCCAUGCUGUUACUACCGAUAAGUCUAGCAUAGGCGUAAAAAUUCGAAAGUGCCAUUUCUUCGACCUCUGAUAUGUAUGCAGUAAAGUCCAAACAGUGAGUGCAGCAGGUCAACACCACCCAUGUGCCUGUUAUGGACCUUUACUACGCUGGGGCAAUCAAUUUCGCGAAACACCUUGGCGGAGGUAAACCAGCGCUUAGUCUUUUGGACUGGAUCUCUCCCAACAAAGCUCGGCAGAAAUGUCACUGCGCGGUUAUCGUAUCAACGCACACACGAUAACUCCACGUCAUGUAUCGCGUUUGUGAGUGCCUCUGAAGCACCACGUCCUUUACAUUUCAGUUCCUUUUCGCUUUUCAGGCGGCUGUUUGGUAGACAAUUCGCCCUUACCGUACCGAUCGUCAAAAUUCCAUCUUGUGAUAGAGUGACCUGCAACUUCGGGCUAUUGAACAGAUGGCAGCACGUUACCAUAUUUUGUAUUUCAAGUUCAUACUGUGCCAAAUAUGGCACACACCGAUUUCGGUUUCUCUGCUGUAGUUGCAGGCAAAAUUGAGAAAACUAGUAACUGCCUUGAAUUGACGAGACCAAAAAAUAUGCCAAAAUAAUUUUUCUAUGCUUCUGCGGUCGAAAUUUUCAGAGAAAAAAAAAACAAUUGCUCGUGUUUGCCCCCUCCAAGUUUCACGUUGCAUCCCAAAAUCUACUUCACCUCUGUUUUGCGUAUCGCUCAAGAGAUGGCAGCACUUGCCCAUAAUAAGUGCGCAUAACUAUGAGAUUUACUCUGAUGGUAUCACAUUCUCAACUGGGAAUCUCACACACGCGAAAAAGAAUGGUAACUGGUAUGUGCCAAAUAUGGGACGCCAUGCAAUAGAAGGUUAAAAGCGACGCUUUCCGCUACUCUUUCUAUGUUCGUACUAUAAGAGAUUGAAAUACUCUACCACCUGACACUGUCUGUAUUUGUUCAAAUGAUGAUUUCUUCCAUGCUUUAUGAAUGUAAUUUUGAGUGUUCAUUUAUAUGAGUUGUACCCUCCCUGCUGUAAUGCCUGAAUGGCGAAGCAGGUACCCAGUGAAUAAAAUAAAGAAAUGUUUCAUUGUCAUGAUUUUGUUUAUAUUGUGUUAUAGCGUAGUUGCACCUUGUUAAGCAGCAAUUACGAGCAUUAUGUGAAAUCAUGCGUGCAAGAAAUGCAAUGUUGAAGCAACUCUUGAGUUUAAACAAAGCAGUAGUAAGCAUGAGUGUCUGCUAUGUAAAGAAAUCCUGCUCCAAAAAGUGCUUGGCAUGUCUCGUUUGUUGCUAUACGUUUCAAUAUGUGCUAUACAGAUUGCUUUGAACGACAUUUCAGUUGCUGUGCAACUUGUGCUGUGCUUGUGUGUCACACAUGAACAGACACCUUCAGCUUUGGAACAAUGCAUACUGCACAGUAAAAUAGGCAUCGCAAAGCAAUAUUCAACUAUGCAAGAUUGGUUGCCAUUCACCUUGGAAAUAACCUUUAUUUAAAGAAAAUUCCCUGGCAAGACAAUAUUCAAAAGCACAGUGAACAAAGCAAAGGAGUAACAUAAUGGCACAUGGCUAUUUGUCACUGCAUGUGUAUCUGUCAUGCUCAACAUAGACAAAUCAUGUGCUUUUCACUACCGCAGUAUGCAGCAUACUACGAUUAGCCACAUGUGAGCACACGCAAUGUGUUAUGUUGAAGUGCACGGCCUAUUUACUUCAUGAAAAGAAAAAUAAAACAUGUUCCACCAGCACA